UGCGGGGUGGAGCAGCUCAGAAGCUCGUCGUCGGGCUCAUAACCCGAAGGUCGUCGGUUCGAAUCCGGCUCCCCGCUACCA
RNAcentral lists this transfer RNA (81 nucleotides) under Billgrantia gudaonensis. RNAcentral's name for it is "Halomonas gudaonensis tRNA-Met". It matches the Rfam family "tRNA". From Rfam's summary of the family: Transfer RNA (tRNA) molecules are approximately 80 nucleotides in length. Their secondary structure includes four short double-helical elements and three loops (D, anti-codon, and T loops). Further hydrogen bonds mediate the characteristic L-shaped molecular structure. tRNAs have two regions of fundamental functional importance: the anti-codon, which is responsible for specific mRNA codon recognition, and the 3' end, to which the tRNAs corresponding amino acid is attached (by aminoacyl-tRNA synthetases). tRNAs cope with the degeneracy of the genetic code in two manners: having more than one tRNA (with a specific anti-codon) for a particular amino acid; and 'wobble' base-pairing, i.e. permitting non-standard base-pairing at the 3rd anti-codon position. The record is from RNAcentral. Lineage: Bacteria; Pseudomonadati; Pseudomonadota; Gammaproteobacteria; Oceanospirillales; Halomonadaceae.